GCCAGGCAUGGUGGCACAUGCCUGUAAUCCCAGCGACUUGGGAGGUUGAGGCAGGGGGAUCACAAGUUCAAAGUCAGUCUCAGCAACUUAGCGAGGCCUUAAGCCUUAGUGAGAUCCUGUCUCAA
RNAcentral lists this small RNA (125 nucleotides) under Marmota monax (woodchuck). Lineage: Eukaryota; Metazoa; Chordata; Mammalia; Rodentia; Sciuridae. The record is from RNAcentral.